Molecule: ribosomal RNA, 460 nt
Filed under: uncultured bacterium
Lineage: Bacteria
Description: partial 16S ribosomal RNA
Rfam family: Bacterial small subunit ribosomal RNA
Source: RNAcentral
CCUACGGGAGGCAGCAGUGAGGAAUAUUGGUCAAUGGACGCAAGUCUGAACCAGCAAUGCCGCGUGCAGGAAGACGGCUCUAUGAGUUGUAAACUGCUUUUGUACGAGGGUAAACUCAGAUACGCGUAUCUGUCUGAAAGUAUCGUACGAAUAAGGAUCGGCUAACUCCGUGCCAGCAGCCGCGGUAAUACGGAGGAUUCAAGCGUUGUCCGGAUUUAUUGGGUUUAACGGGUGCGUAGGCGGUCGGAUAAGUUAGAGGUGAAAUCCCGAGGCUCAACUUCGGAAUUGCCUCUGAUACUGUUCGGCUAGAGAGUAGUUGAGGUAGGCGGAAUGUAUGGUGUAGCGGUGGAAUGCUUAGAGAUCAGACAGAACACCGAUUGCGAAGGCAGCUUACCAAGCUACGUCUGACGUUGAGGCACGAAAGCGUGGGGAGCAAACAGGAUUAGAUACCCCAGUAGUC